ACAUAUUUAGCUUAAUAGGUAAAGCGUUAGUCUUCGAAACUAAAAAAUAUAGGUUCAAUUCCUUUAAUAUGUU
This is a non-coding RNA of Smittium megazygosporum, 73 nucleotides long. Lineage: Eukaryota; Fungi; Kickxellomycota; Harpellomycetes; Harpellales; Legeriomycetaceae. The record is from the annotation of a GenBank genome assembly.